UAAACUAUGCGAACUGGAUGUUGGGUACAUUACGGUACUCAGUGUCGAAANUAACGCGUUAAGUUCGCCGCCUGGGGAGUACGGUCGCAAGACUGAAACUCAAAGGAAUUGACGGGGGCCCGCACAAGCGGUGGAGUAUGUGGUUUAAUUCGAUGCAACGCGAAGAACCUUACCUGGCCUUGACAUCUGUCGAAUCCUGCAGAGAUGCGGGAGUGCCGCAAGGAACGACNANGACAGGUGCUGCAUGGCUGUCGUCAGCUCGUGUCGUGAGAUGUUGGGUUAAGUCCCGCAACGAGCGCAACCCUUGUCCCUAGUUGCCAGCACGUAAUGGUGGGAACUCUAGGGAGACUGCCGGUGACAAACCGGAGGAAGGUGGGGAUGACGUCAAGUCCUCAUGGCCCUUACGGCCAGGGCUACACACGUACUACAAUGGUCGGUACAGAGGGUUGCGAAGCCGCGAGGUGGAGCCAAUCCCAGAAAACCGAUCUCAGUCCGGAUUGGAGUCUGCAACUCGACUCCAUGAAGUCGGAAUCGCUAGUANCCGCGAAUCAGCUAUGUCGCGGUGAGUACGUUCCCGCG
This 579-nucleotide ribosomal RNA is filed under the name uncultured bacterium. RNAcentral describes it as "bacterial SSU rRNA". It matches the Rfam family "Bacterial small subunit ribosomal RNA", at positions 803 to 1378 of the family's 1533-position model. The record is from RNAcentral.